Molecule: long non-coding RNA, 705 nt
Organism: Polypterus senegalus (gray bichir)
Lineage: Eukaryota; Metazoa; Chordata; Cladistia; Polypteriformes; Polypteridae
Exons: 2
Source: RefSeq, a predicted model, not a curated record
CGAAGCGAGCACGCUGCUGCUUAUGCUAACUCAAUAGCUGCUGGUGCCUUGUCACACUUGCAGCUUCCUGCCAAACAUUUUGCUUCUGACUUAUUACAGACCACAAUUUUUUUUUUGCCUACCUGCACACUGAAUAUCAUUUGAAUUUGCUUUUCCGGUAAAAAGUGUUUAGAAACACACACAAGACCAUGUAAUCAUGAUGCAAGUAAUUGGGAGGUUGGACAUGUUCGGGCCCAGCCAGUACUUGGAUGGAAGGCCAACCAAAAAAAAACUUGGGUUGGGUUGCUGCUGGAAGAAGUGUUAAUGUGGCCAUCAGGGGGCACCUACUCUGUGGUCUGAAUGUGGAUUCCAAUGCUCCAGGGCAGUAACAAGAAGAUUGUGUUGUAAAAAGGGUGCUGUCCUUUGAAAGAGAUGUAAAAUCGAGAACCUGACUCAUAAAAAAACCCUGGACAUCCUUCGUAAACAUUAGAGUGUAUGGCUAAAUUGUCCACCACGACCUAGUCCAUUUUGGCACCCUACUCAUCCUCCAUCUCUGGCUGGCUAACUAUCUCUCACUCCUUCACCACCACACAGUUAACAUGUGGUAUGCGUACUGCCACAAAAUGGCUUCCGUCGUAUUAUCCAGGUGGGUGCUACACUUUAGCAGUGGUUGAAAUGGCUCCUUACUCACUAUGCAAAGCACAUUAAAUUACUUCUGGCCCAAAA